UCAAACUUGGUCAUUUAGAGGAAGUAAAAGUCGUAACAAGGUCUCCGUUGGUGAACCAGCGGAGGGAUCAUUACUGAAGUUACCUUCUAAACCAUCAUGUGAACCUUACCCCUGCCGCGCUGUUGCCUCGGCGGGACGCCGGAGCCCCGGCUCCGGCGCCGCCGGCAGCGCCAAACUCUACCUUGAAACAGCGGAAACGCACUCUGAUUUAGAAGCGAAAACAAGUCAAAACUUUCAACAACGGAUCUCUUGGUUCUGGCAUCGAUGAAGAACGCAGC
This 278-nucleotide unclassified non-coding RNA is filed under the name uncultured fungus. RNAcentral describes it as "partial contains small subunit ribosomal RNA, internal transcribed spacer 1, and 5.8S ribosomal RNA". The stretch from base 1 to 73 matches the Rfam family "Eukaryotic small subunit ribosomal RNA", at positions 1759 to 1831 of the family's 1831-position model. The record is from RNAcentral. Lineage: Eukaryota; Fungi.